AUUUCACAUAGAGGUCGCGAUUGACAUGAGUCGCUUGGUUAAACUGUUAUAACAGUUUAACCAAGUAAAAGGGGAUAUCGCCGAAAUGAAUCGUCUUCAAAGGAGAUAUUUGUUGGGCUAAUAGCUAAUAACUAUUAGACUGUCGUUAGAAAUAACGGUGAGCUAUGGAAACA
RNAcentral lists this non-coding RNA (173 nucleotides) under Leuconostoc gelidum. RNAcentral describes it as "Lysine sequence". It matches the Rfam family "Lysine riboswitch aptamer". Rfam says of the family: Riboswitches are metabolite binding domains within certain messenger RNAs that serve as precision sensors for their corresponding targets. Allosteric rearrangement of mRNA structure is mediated by ligand binding, and this results in modulation of gene expression. This family includes riboswitches that sense lysine in a number of genes involved in lysine metabolism, including lysC. The record is from RNAcentral. Lineage: Bacteria; Bacillati; Bacillota; Bacilli; Lactobacillales; Lactobacillaceae.